RNAcentral lists this long non-coding RNA (1399 nucleotides) under Pandoravirus salinus. RNAcentral describes it as "putative ncRNA". The record is from RNAcentral.
GUUGGCGUUGCCAUGCCCUCUGCGAUCGCCUAAAAGCAAGACGAAAUCAGACGCCCCUCUGAGCAACUGCGCCGUCUCUCACAACGAGACGCGCGCAUUGUGCCGUUUCUUUUUUUUUUGCAUUUUCUCCAUUUUCAAAGCGGUAUAGACGGGACGCCGCAAGGCAUGGGGAGGGGACUGUCGACCCGAAGGCGCGCAUCGCCCACAAUUGCACACACGCACACAGCGCGAGCGCGGUCUCGAUCAACGGCGGACCAAUGGGAGGUCUCGCAGUUUGGGCGACACCAAGAGGCGGUAGCCCUCGCGCAGGCCGACGGCCGUGUUCCACCGAUCGAGCGCGCCGCGCACCAGAGUCACAGCGUCGGCCGUCGUCGCAUAGACGUGGACCGUGCUGCCGCGCGCCAGGUCGGGCACGGCGGCCUCAAAGGCCUCGCUGCUGGUGCUGCCGCCGGCGCGCGCCGGAUGCCAUUCCGACUCGUAAAAGGGCACGCGCUUGAGCGGGUUAGCCGUGCCCAUGGCAUAGUCGAGCGUGACGACGACCGUCCUCGCGCGCGCGCUCACGCCCACCGACGCGAGCGUCGCCCACACGGUCGGCAGCACGCGCUGCGCGGGCGCCUCGUCGGUGCUGGGCAUGCGUAUCUCGGCGACGGGCACGUAGAGGUCGCGGCGGUCGAUGCGAUCCAAGAGGGCGGCGGCAGAGGCAAAGGCGCGCUCGCCGCCCGCGGCCCGACGGCGCACUUCGCCCAAGAUGUCGUCGGUCGACGCCAGAAAGGCGUCGGGGUCAUCGCGUUCGAUGGCGGCAAAGAGGCCGAGCGCGCCCUCGGCGUCGCGCAGCACGUCGCCGAUCAUGAGUUCGACGGCCUUGCCCACCGGGUGCGAAUACACCUGGCGGUGCAUGUCCAGGCGGCUGCGAAACAUGCGCAGCAGGUUGCUGUACUCGCUCUCGCGAAAGCAGAUCUCGCCGCCCUCGAUGCGGCUGUAGGCGAUGAUGCGGUCGGCGUCGCAUUGCACCUGCAUGCCGGUGGCGUGCGAGUCCCGCAGGAGAUAGUCAAACUUGUCGGCGUCGACGCUGUUGAGCGCAUUGUGCACCACGCGGUAGAGGAAGGCGCGACGCUCUUCGAGCACGUGGCCGCGGAUCAUGGCCUCGACGCGCUCCACCUCGUCGGGCGCGAGCACGCCCGCGCGCUCAUUGAUGCGACGCACGAGCGCGCACGAGAUCUCCUCGUGGUGCCAGCGCGUAUGGCGCGGCCGUUCAUUGACAAUCUGCUCGAAUGCGUGGCUAAACGGACCGUGCCCUAGAUGCGCGCAAGAGCCGCCAUUGUUUUAGACCACACAAGAGGCGAUUGAAAAACAUUCUGCCCCCCCCCUCCUUCCCCCCCCCCCGAGCCGACGGACGGGC